UGAGAGAAGAUGAAGUGGGAGAAAAGGAAAAUGAGGAUGAGUAGACCCGCCUUGGGUGCGGGUCCACGUCUUUUAUAUGCACGAGAGAAAAGUAAGUGACGAACCCGCCUAUGGUGCGCGUCGGUGCACUGCAUGUACGAGAGCAAUGGAGAGUGAGGGGAAUGUGACGGACCCGCCUAUGGCGCGGGUCUGUGUAUCAUUGGUGAGAGAGAGGAAGAUGGAGAUAGGGAGUGACGAACCCGUUCUAGGCACGGGUCCGUGCAUUUAGGCGAACGAGAGACAAGAGGAUGAAGACACUGGUCCAUGCGUUUAGGUGGGUGAGAGAGAGAGAAACAAAAUAAUGAGAGAGGAAGAGAGACGGGCCCAUGCCUAGGCACGGGCCUGAGCAUUUUUUGUGAGGGGGAGUCUGUCCGAGCUUAUAAGGGUGAAUGGGGGGUGCGUGGUCACCCAUUCUUCCUCAUCUCUUUUGUUCUUCUAGAGAGAGA
Molecule: long non-coding RNA, 485 nt
Filed under: Amborella trichopoda
Lineage: Eukaryota; Viridiplantae; Streptophyta; Magnoliopsida; Amborellales; Amborellaceae
Description: long non-coding RNA (ATRI_LNC004998)
Source: RNAcentral